RNAcentral lists this ribosomal RNA (625 nucleotides) under uncultured bacterium. RNAcentral describes it as "bacterial SSU rRNA". It matches the Rfam family "Bacterial small subunit ribosomal RNA", at positions 28 to 590 of the family's 1533-position model. The record is from RNAcentral.
GAUGAACGCUGGUGGCGUGCCUAACACAUGCAAGUCGAGCGGUCCGACACUCAACUCAUGAAAUAAUUAAGAAUAAAGCCAAAACUUUCUUCGAAGAAGAGAAAAAAGGUGAUAAUCGAAAUUAUUGUAUGAGUUGAGUGUUGGGUAGCGGCGGACGGGUGAGUAACGCGUGGGCAACCUACCUUGUACAGUGGAAUAACAGUCGGAAACGAUUGCUAAUACCGCAUAAAACUAUAAUAAGGCAUCUUAAAAUAGUCAGAGAUUUAUCGGUACAAGAUAGGCCCGCGUCUGAUUAGCUAGUUGGUGGGGUAAUAGCCUACCAAGGCGACGAUCAGUAGCCGGCCUGAGAGGGUGACCGGCCACACUGGAACUGAGACACGGCCCAGACUCCUACGGGAGGCAGCAGUGGGGGAUAUUGCACAAUGGGGGAAACCCUGAUGCAGCGACGCCGCGUGAGCGAAGAAGGCCUUCGGGUCGUAAAGCUCUGUUUCGAGGGAAGAAAAUGACGGUACCUCGGGAGAAAGCCCCGGCUAACUACGUGCCAGCAGCCCGCGGUAAUACGUAAGGGGCAAGCGNUAUCCGGAAUCAUUGGGCGUAAAGGGUGCGUAGGUGGUCAAUAAAGUCA